RNAcentral lists this transfer RNA (91 nucleotides) under Gammaproteobacteria bacterium. Its description in RNAcentral is "tRNA-Ser". It matches the Rfam family "tRNA". Rfam says of the family: Transfer RNA (tRNA) molecules are approximately 80 nucleotides in length. Their secondary structure includes four short double-helical elements and three loops (D, anti-codon, and T loops). Further hydrogen bonds mediate the characteristic L-shaped molecular structure. tRNAs have two regions of fundamental functional importance: the anti-codon, which is responsible for specific mRNA codon recognition, and the 3' end, to which the tRNAs corresponding amino acid is attached (by aminoacyl-tRNA synthetases). tRNAs cope with the degeneracy of the genetic code in two manners: having more than one tRNA (with a specific anti-codon) for a particular amino acid; and 'wobble' base-pairing, i.e. permitting non-standard base-pairing at the 3rd anti-codon position. Lineage: Bacteria; Pseudomonadati; Pseudomonadota; Gammaproteobacteria. The record is from RNAcentral.
GGAGAGGUGUCCGAGCGGUCGAAGGAGCACGCCUGGAAAGCGUGUAUGGGUUUAUAGCUCAUCGAGGGUUCGAAUCCCUCUCUCUCCGCCA